UACGUAUGGUGCAAGCGUUAUCCGCAUUUACUGGGUGUAAAGGGAGCGCAGGCGGCACGGCAAGCCUGAUGUGAAAGCCCGCGGCCCAACCGCGGGACUGCAUUGGGAACUACCGGGCUGGAGUGCCGGAGAGGUAGGCGGAAUUCCUAGUGUAGCGGUGAAAUGCGUAGAUAUUAGGAGGAACACCAGUGGCGAAGGCGGCCUACUGGACGGUGACUGACGCUGAGGCUCGAAAGCGUGGGGAGCAAACAGG
RNAcentral lists this ribosomal RNA (253 nucleotides) under uncultured bacterium. RNAcentral's name for it is "partial 16S ribosomal RNA". It matches the Rfam family "Bacterial small subunit ribosomal RNA", at positions 524 to 776 of the family's 1533-position model. The record is from RNAcentral.